ACCUGGCUGGCUCCGUUGGUAGAGCGCACGACUCUUGAUCUUGGAGUUGUGAGUUCGAGCCCCACAUUGGGUG
RNAcentral lists this transfer RNA (73 nucleotides) under Mustela putorius furo (domestic ferret). It matches the Rfam family "tRNA". From Rfam's summary of the family: Transfer RNA (tRNA) molecules are approximately 80 nucleotides in length. Lineage: Eukaryota; Metazoa; Chordata; Mammalia; Carnivora; Mustelidae. The record is from Rfam by way of RNAcentral.